Long non-coding RNA from Cannabis sativa, 466 nucleotides. RefSeq lists it as uncharacterized. NCBI's taxonomy places the organism in Eukaryota, Viridiplantae, Streptophyta, Magnoliopsida, Rosales, Cannabaceae. The transcript is spliced from 2 exons. The record is from RefSeq and is a predicted model, not a curated record.
UUAUUUUUUUGAGAUGAAACUGAUUUUUUGUUGUUUUGUUGUUUUUUUGAUGAUGAGAAGAUGGCUAAUGUUGAUAAGAAAGUUAAAAAGAAACCAGUUUCCAAAUCCUUUGGCAAGAAGAAGAGCGAGGCUCCUGCUAUUGACGCUCCAUUGAGGAAGAAUUGCCCCAUGGAGAAGAGAGAAAGUGAAUUAGAAAAGAUGGAGAAGAGAAUCGCAGGUGAGAGAGAAUCACAGGAGAGAGAGAGAAUCGCAGGAGAGAGAGAAUCGGUGUAGAGAGAGAAUUUUGUUUAUAUAUGGUUAAAAAUAAUAAAUUUGCUUGAUUUAAAAUCAGAUUUUGUUUUUAAGGUAUUUUAUGGUUUUUUUUUUAAAAAAAGUCAUAUUUGUAGUUUGGUUGGUUAGUUAAUGCCAUAUUUUGUGGCAUUUAGUUUUCUUGCCAUAUUUAUCAUAAAAUGGUUUAUUUUUCCCA